CUUUUCUUCACACAAAUGAUGGGGAUCUGGGCCUGUUCCUGAGAAUCAGAUAAGUGAUGGGUUGUCAAUUGGCGAGUCGACAUAAACAUAAAAUGUCAUUAAUUCAUACAGUAUGAGAAUUGAGAAACACUAUUCUUCGCCACAACAGUGCCAACUGAGCUAGUUAAUGAGCAGGUUGUAGCUGUGUGUGUGUGUGUGAGAGAGAGACCACCUGACCCGUGAGUCUAUCCAACAACCAAAAAAACUGCAUAAAUAAAAAGGUCUGGAACAAAACCAGCAAUUCCGCCUGUUUAUUAGUCAUUUUAAUGCCAGAUAGUUAGUAUUUUCCAUGUACUGCUAGCGUUGGCCUUAUUAACGGUAUCAAAACAAGUAGAAACAACUCAAACUGUGCAGAAUUAAUUCACUACAUAAGCAUCACUCCCAAUGCCAGCAUAAUAAAACAAACACUUCACCAUCAAUGAUGAAGUAGUGCAAUAUGGAAAAGCUUUGAUAAUGUUGCUAGUUUUAAACAAUAGUAACAAGUUACUAAGUUGUAUUGUAAUAGCAGCAUGGCUCAGCAUCACCAACACACAGCACUGUGCAUAGUGAGCACAGUAAAACACCUUAUGGCACCUAAGUGGUGUCAAUAUGGAUCCACGUCUGCACCCACUGUCUUACGUCAGGUGGCGUCAAUCCUACGCAAUGGUCGUCCCUCAACCGACGAUAACGGGAAUCAUCGUUAUCUGAUGUAAGACAAUGGGUCUGAACCCAUAGAGUUGGUUGGAACUGGAGCCUGUAGGCUACUUAGCACUCAGGAGGGUAAAGGUCUGUAGAGGGUAGAAGUCUGUAGAGGGUAGAAGUCUGUAGAGGGUAGAAGUCUGUAGAGGGUAGAAGUCUGUAGAGGCUAGAGGUCUGUAGAGGCUAGAGGUCUGUAGAGGCUAGAGGUCUGUAGAGGCUAGAGGUCUGUAGAGGGUAGAGGUCUGUAGAGGUCUGUAGAGGGUAGAAGUCUGUAGACGUCUGUAGAGGGUAGAAGUCUGUAGAAGUCUGUAGAGGGUAGAAGUCUGUAGAGGGUAGAGGUCUGUAGAAGUCUGUAGAGGGUAGAAGUCUAGAGGGUAGAGGUCUGUAGAGGGUAGAGGUCUGUAGAGGGUAGAAGUCUGUAGAGGCUAGAGGUCUGUAGAGGCUAGAGGUCUGUAGAGGCUAGAGGUCUGUAGAGGGUAGAAGUCUGUAGAGGUCUGUAGAGGGUAGAAGUCUGUAGACGUCUGUAGAGGGUAGAAGUCUGUAGACGUCUGUAGAGGGUAGAAGUCUGUAGACGUCUGUAGAGGGUAGAAGUCUGUAGAAGGUAGAAGUCUGUAGACGUCUGUAGAGGGUAGAAGUCUGUAGACGUCUGUAGAGGGUAGAAGUCUGUAGACGUCUGUAGAGGGUAGAAGUCUGUAGACGUCUCUAGAGGGUAGAGGUCUGUAGACGUCUCUAGAGGGUAGAGGUCUGUAGACGUCUCUAGAGGGUAGAAGUCUGUAGACGUCUCUAGAGGGUAGAAGUCUGUAGACGUCUCUAGAGGGUAGAAGUCUGUAGACGUCUCUAGAGGGUAGAAGUCUGUAGACGUCUGUAGAGGGUAGAAGUCUGUAGACGUCUCUAGAGGGUAGAAGUCUGUAGACGUCUCUAGAGGGUAGAAGUCUGUAGAAGGUAGAAGUCUGUAGAGGUCUGUAGAGGGUAGACAUCUGUAGAAGCCUGUAGAGGGGGUAGACAUCUGUAGAAGCCUGUAGAGGGUAGAAGUCUAGGUAGAAGCCUGUAGAAGCCUGUAGAGAGUAGAAGCCUGUAGACAUUACCUGUUUAUUUCGCCCCAAUUUCAUGGUUUCCAAUUGGUAGGUAGUUUUGUCCCAUCGCUGCAACUCCCAUAUGGAGAGGCGAAGGUUGAGAGUUGUGCGUCGCACGAAACACGAACCAGCCAAGCCACACUGCUUCUUGACACAACGCCCGCUUAACCCGGAAGCCAGCCGCACCAAUGUUCUGUAUACACCGUACACCUGGCAACCGUGUCAGGGGCCAUGUGCCCGGCCCACCACAGGAGUAACUAGAGCGCGAUGGGAAAUGUUAAUCUUGGCCUGUCAAACCCUCUCCUAACCUGGAUGACGCUGGGCCAAUUGUGUGCCGCCUCAUGGGUCUCCCAGGAACUGGCCAGCUGUGACACAGCCUGGGAUCGAACCCAGGUCUCUAGUGACGCCUCAAAGACUGCGAUGAAGUACCUUAGACUGCUGCGCCACUCGAGAGGCUCCCGCAAAUUGAUUUUAACAAAAUUGAUCUCCCAAAAAAUGCUCCCCCCCAUUGAAUUUCAAAAUCCCGAUGUGGCCCUCGAGCCAAAAAGUUUGCCCACCCCUGCUAUAGAGGGUAGGAGUCGGUAGUGCUAGCCUGUACGAUCUGUAGGCUACACAGGUAGGUAAACUCUUAGAAAAAACUGUUCCAAAAAAGUCCCCAUAGGAGAACCCUUUUUGGUUCCUG
Molecule: long non-coding RNA, 2472 nt
Organism: Oncorhynchus tshawytscha (Chinook salmon)
Lineage: Eukaryota; Metazoa; Chordata; Actinopteri; Salmoniformes; Salmonidae
Source: Ensembl